RNAcentral lists this ribosomal RNA (490 nucleotides) under uncultured bacterium. Its description in RNAcentral is "partial 16S ribosomal RNA". It matches the Rfam family "Bacterial small subunit ribosomal RNA", at positions 30 to 507 of the family's 1533-position model. The record is from RNAcentral.
AUUGAACGCUGGCGGCAGGCCUAACACAUGCAAGUCGAACGGUAACAGGAAGCAGCUUGCUGCUUCGCUAACGAGUGGCGGACGGGUGAGUAAUGUCUGGGAAGCUGCCUGAUGGAGGGGGAUAACUACUGGAAACGGUAGCUAAUACCGCAUAAUGUCGCAAGACCAAAGAGGGGGACCUUCGGGCCUCUUGCCAUCGGAUGUGCCCAGAUGGGAUUAGCUUGUUGGUGGGGUAACGGCUCACCAAGGCGACGAUCCCUAGCUGGUCUGAGAGGAUGACCAGCCACACUGGAACUGAGACACGGUCCAGACUCCUACGGGAGGCAGCAGUGGGGAAUAUUGCACAAUGGGCGCAAGCCUGAUGCAGCCAUGCCGCGUGUAUGAAGAAGGCCUUCGGGUUGUAAAGUACUUUCAGCGGGGAGGAAGGGAGUAAAGUUAAUACCUUUGCUCAUUGACGUUACCCGCAGAAGAAGCACCGGCUAACUCCGUG